This 3647-nucleotide long non-coding RNA is filed under the name Nicotiana benthamiana. Its description in RNAcentral is "long non-coding RNA (NBEN_LNC028157)". The record is from RNAcentral. Lineage: Eukaryota; Viridiplantae; Streptophyta; Magnoliopsida; Solanales; Solanaceae.
GCACAUACGCAAACAUUGUUGGGUCUAAUUCUUUCAGCCCUAAUUUCCAUCCUUUGUAAGGAUGGUAGAGGGCAAAUGUCGACCCCAGAUCCACUGUCCAACAUAACCAUUUUCAAAUAACAUCCUUCACACUUGAUGGUCAAAUGAAGAGCUUUGUUGCGAGCGUCACCUUCUAGAGGUAAGUCAUUUCGGCUGAAGGAGAUUUUAAAUCCACUUGGAAACUUAGGAAAAGAAAGAAAAAUUAGUGUGAAAAAUAAAGUUUUUUUUCGAGAAAUCCUUGUAUUUCAAUUAUGCCUUUUAGGUUGCCUAUGUUGAUGAUCAUGUGUGUGUGAGUGAGGGUCUAUUCCUUUUAUAGGGUGUAUAAGAAUAAGAAUAAUAAGGAAUCUUCCACCCUAAUUUUAAAAAAUCUCAGCUAGUACAACAUCUUUUUAACAGAUUUGGUACAACUAUCUGUCCUUUUUACCUAAAUUAAGCAUUUUCAUACUAAAAAUAGGGACAAUUAUAUGAUACUAGAAUCUUCUAAUAUUUUUCUCAUUUUAAAUUCCCAAUUUACCCUUUUAAGUUUUUUUAUUGCACCUUCAACCCCCUAAUUUCUAUUUGUUAUCAACUAAGGUUUCUACUGAAUUCUGAAUAGCAACCAAGAACACUGAUCAAAUCAGACAUCAUACUAAGCUUAUCAAAACUGCAUGACACAUUGUCAGAUGGUACAACAUCUUUUUAACAGAUUUGGUACAAUUGUCUGUCCUUUUUACCUAAAUUCAGCAUUUUCAUACUAAAAAUAGGGACAGUUAUAUAAUACUAGAAUCUUCCGAUAUUUUUCUCAUUUUAAAUUCCCAAUUUACCCUUUUAAGUUAUGUUUAUUGCAACUUCAACGCCCCUAAUUUCUAUUUGUUAUCAACUAAGGUUUCCACUGAAUUCUGAAUAGCAACCAAGAACACAGAUCAAAUCAGACCUCAUACGAAGCAAAUCAAGACUGCACGACACGUCAUGUGAUUACAACCUUAGAGUUAAUUAAAUAAUAACUUGCAAUCUAAAUUAACUAACAUGCAUUUAAGUAGUCUAAAUACAGAAAAUAAUUUUGUUAGGUUGAUUCAAUUAGACUAAAUAAAAUGUGAUUAACUAAAUAGUAAUGUGGUUAACUGAAGAAUUAUAAAACUAGUUUAAACUAGUCUUAUCUAAUUAAACACACAGUAACAAGGAAUCAAGGCAACAAAAAUAGAUAAAAACAAACCCUAAAUAUAAAAAAUAAAAAAGAAUAAACAGAGACAAAGGGAAAAGAACAAGGUAUUGAUUUUUGCUGGAAGAUGCAUAAGUGACUGAGGCAAAUCAGAGCUUUGUUGGCCAAUAUAGAGUUUUUCUGAAUCCGGCGAGCCUUUAAGAGAACCAAAACUGAAGUUAAUCGAUUGUUCUUAACAAAAAACAAUCGAUUAGCAUAAACAUUGGCUCAAAUCAAGCCUUAGAAACCAUAGAAAUCAAAAGGGAGAAAGGGUUAGGGUUUUGGUUUUCUUUUGAAAUUUCAGAUCUAAAACUUGGAAAAAUCGGGUGAUUAUUUGAGGAAAUUGGUGGGGGAAUAGUGAUGAGGGGAGGCUGGGAUUGUGGGGUUAUAUUUUAGGGGAGCUUGGAGACGGGCCGCCACCAUGAGGCGAUAUCAGGUGGCGGCAAGAAGCGGAGGUGAGAGAGACGACUUGGUGAAGGGGAAAGUGAAUCAGUUCUCUAGGGUUUGGGGGGUUCGACAUUUUUAAGGGAAAUGGAGAUCAAUGUGAGCCAUUGGAUCAAAAUGAUCCAACGUCUAGGAUUAAAGGGAGGGGAAACAACACUGUUUGGAUUAAUAAGGGUUGACUUGGACUUGGACCGAGCUUGGAGAUGGACUGAGCGGACGUGAUUGUUCUUUUGGGCCAAAUAAAAAAUGAUUUUUGCCUAAACUUGGCGACAAACAAAGCUCUUCCUUCAUUUUUUUCCUUUUCUUUGUUUUUCUUUUCUUUUCUCUAAUUUUAAACACUUAACUAAAUUAAUCAAAGUCCUAAUUAAAUCCUAAAUCAAACUAAUUUAUAAAAUCAGGCUAUUAUCUAUUUGUAAUAUUUACAUUAUGAAUUAAUCCUAAAUUGAUGAAGAAAAAAUUACUAUUCUAACACUCAAAGCUAAAAAUGUAAAAAAUGAACAUUAUUUUUUUGUGAUUUUUAUUUAAUAAAGUGAUUAAAUAUUAAUCUAAUCCUAAAAUACUAACACAAAAUCUAAAAUGCAAUGCAUGAAUUUUUUGACAUUUUUGUGCUAUUUUUCAUGGUUUUAAUAAUAUUAAACGUGCACUAAAAAUGCAAACAACCAAUAAACUUCUACAAAAAUCCUAUAAAACUAAAAGCAAUUUAGAAAAACCUAUUUUUUAUUUUUUUAGAAGUAUUCUAAUUGGGAAAAAAUUACAUGCUCGCAAUUGAUAUUAUUAAGUUAAUUAUUAUUAGAUAUAAGUGGUUCGGAAGUGCAAUCUAGAGGAAAAGCGGUGGUUGAGGGUUGAUUGAGGGCCGUGGAAAUGAGGUAAGUAUUAUGGCUAACCUUUUCUUAAGAGAUUAGGUGAUACUGCUUUAUUUGCAACGUGUUUAGUUGUUGAGUACAAUGUGUAGGUGAAGUGAUGAGUAUAUAUACGUUGUUGUCGGAUCAUAGAAUGCGAGUGAGUCUUAUACUUGUGACUGUUGUAGUUCUUUAUACAUACUAUUCAUGCCGAAACUGGUUAUCCUUCAUGUUAAACAAGUCUUAUUAUGAUAUCCUUGUAUUGGAUAUUGGUUGAGUAUUGACUCAAUUUGAGAUUUAUAUUGUAAAGUUAAAUUUUGAAAUGAGGCUGGUUAUUGAUGAUUCUCUUCCUGGAUUGUUACUGUUUCUGUUGUUGUGUGGGUGAGAAAGAGAGUAAAUAACGAAAGGCGAUGCCAUACAAGAUAUUGUGAGUGAGUAUUAAUAUACGAAGGGUGAUGUAGUAUUGUAUUCUGUGAGUGAUAAUGCACGAAGGGUGAUGUUGUAUCGUAUUCUGAUAUUGAUAAUGCACGAUGGGUGAAAUCUUGCCAUGUUUUGAGAGAGUUAAGACACAAAGGGUGAUACCGUGUCAUUCUAUUAUUUCUUAUGGUAAGGACAAGAAUAAAAGCUCGAAGGGUGAUGUUGUGCACGUGUUUGCUUUGUUAUUAUUUCCAUUGGUUCAAAGCAUGAUAUUUACUGUGUUUCUGUAUGGUACUAUUUCAAGAUUUGAUAUUCCCCUCAACAUGUUUUUCUCUUUCUCUAUUAACUGUUAAAUUCCCGUUGUUGUUAUUUUCUGGUAUAUGAUUUAAUUGCACAGGUUCGUGUUGUUAUCGUGUUUUAGCCUCGUUAGUACUACGCCGAGGUUAGGCUUAGCACUUACCAGUACAUAGGGUCAGUUGUAUUGAUACUUCACUAUGCACUUUUCUGUGCAGAUUUCUGUACCGAACCUCGUUGACUAGAGUUGGGUUGCUGCCUUCAGUCUAUCAAGAGAUCCAAGUUAGAUGUGCCAGCGUUCGUAGACCCUGGAGUCCCCUUCCCUCUAUAUUAGUUUCUCUGUUUUCUUUCAUUCAAGAACAAAUGUAUUUUCUUUAAACCAGUAUUUGUCAAAACUUUUAGAUGUUUGUAGAUUGUUAUACUAGAUCUUUGGGUAG